Long non-coding RNA from Juglans regia (Persian walnut), 505 nucleotides. RefSeq lists it as uncharacterized. The transcript is spliced from 3 exons. Lineage: Eukaryota; Viridiplantae; Streptophyta; Magnoliopsida; Fagales; Juglandaceae. The record is from RefSeq and is a predicted model, not a curated record.
CACAAUUUCAUUGUCCAGUUGUUUGCUGAUCUCUUUGUGCUUCAGAGUAAAAGGUUUUAGUCUUUGUGUGUGUUAAGCACUAAGCAGUGAUGAACGACCCUAAGUACCCAUAUGCUUACCCUGCCCAAGGUUAUUAUCAAGGACCCCCAGUGAUGGCACCUCCGCAAUAUGCUGCUGCACCACCCAGGAGAGCAGAACCAGGUUUCCUUGAGGGAUGUUUAGCGGCUCUCUGUUGCUGUUUCCUAAUUGACGAGUGUUGCUGCGACCCAUCCAUAAUCUUUAUGUGCUGAUCAUCAUCCUGCAUGUAAUUUCAUGCACGUACGAAUAUUUCCCGCUUAUAAAUAGUAUCAUGCUCGAAGAAGUUGUUAUUGCUGAUCAGUUAAAUUCACGCGUGCGUACAUGUAUGUAGACUUUGUUUUAAAUUCGCAGUUUCUAUGUCUAUCGAUCUUCGUAUGGUGUAGUUUCUCAGAGACUAUAUAUAAUAUUCAUCAAUUUCUCUUUAUAA